RNAcentral lists this long non-coding RNA (311 nucleotides) under Ananas comosus (pineapple). RNAcentral describes it as "long non-coding RNA (ACOM_LNC043902)". The record is from RNAcentral. Lineage: Eukaryota; Viridiplantae; Streptophyta; Magnoliopsida; Poales; Bromeliaceae.
AUAUCGAGCCGGCUCGUUAAGAUUUCGAGUUGAAAAAUUCAGAUCGGCUGGUUUAAUUCAUUUAUUAAACGAGCGAACGAUUUUAAGUUUUUUUUUUUUUUUUUUUUUUUUUUGAGAGAUAGGUAGCAAGCACGUUAGCUGCUUCGUUUAUUUCAUUUAGAAAUAAACUUAGCUGGAAAUGUGAAUCAACUAGGAUGCGAACUUGGGUCUUGGGUACCAACCACCAAGCCCUUUGCCACUUGCUCCAGGAAUGGUCGGUGAUCGAUUUUAAGUUCAUUCCAAGCCGAGCACGAGUUAGCUCCCGACCGGCG